Molecule: transfer RNA, 69 nt
Filed under: uncultured Polaribacter sp.
Lineage: Bacteria; Pseudomonadati; Bacteroidota; Flavobacteriia; Flavobacteriales; Flavobacteriaceae
Also listed under: 1 other name
Rfam family: tRNA
About the family: Transfer RNA (tRNA) molecules are approximately 80 nucleotides in length. Their secondary structure includes four short double-helical elements and three loops (D, anti-codon, and T loops). Further hydrogen bonds mediate the characteristic L-shaped molecular structure. tRNAs have two regions of fundamental functional importance: the anti-codon, which is responsible for specific mRNA codon recognition, and the 3' end, to which the tRNAs corresponding amino acid is attached (by aminoacyl-tRNA synthetases). tRNAs cope with the degeneracy of the genetic code in two manners: having more than one tRNA (with a specific anti-codon) for a particular amino acid; and 'wobble' base-pairing, i.e. permitting non-standard base-pairing at the 3rd anti-codon position.
Source: RNAcentral
CCGAUGUAGCUCAGCUGGCUAGAGCAGCUGAUUUGUAAUCAGCAGGUCGUGGGUUCGAGUCCCUCCAUC